GAGGAUCUGUCUAAUCUCAGAGG
Molecule: microRNA, 23 nt
Filed under: Bos taurus (domestic cattle)
Lineage: Eukaryota; Metazoa; Chordata; Mammalia; Artiodactyla; Bovidae
Description: bta-miR-2471-5p
Source: miRBase by way of RNAcentral